CCAACAGGGAUUGCCUUAGUAACGGCGAGUGAAGCGGCAAUAGCUCAAAUUUGAAAUCUGGCGCUUGCGUCCGAGUUGUAAUUUGUAGAGGAUGAUUUUGGUUAGGUACCUUUCGAGUUCCUUGGAACAGGACGCCUUAGAGGGUGAGAGCCCCGUACGAUUGGAUGCCGAGCCUCUGUAAAUCUCCUUCGACGAGUCGAGUAGUUUGGGAAUGCUGCUCUAAAUGGGAGGUAAAUUUCUUCUAAAGCUAAAUACCGGCCAGAGACCGAUAGCGCACAAGUAGAGUGAUCGAAAGAUGAAAAGCACUUUGAAAAGAGGGUUAAAUAGCACGUGAAAUUGUUGAAAGGGAAGGAUUUAUGACCAGACUUUUUCUAGGAGAAUCAUCCGGUGUUCUCACCGGUGCACUUCUUUUAGUUUAGGCCAGCAUCGACUUUCGGCGGUGGAUAAAAGCUUUAGGAAUGUGGCUUCUCUCGGGAAGUGUUAUAGCCUAUUGUAUAAUACACUGCUGGGGGUCGAGGUACGCGCUUCUGCAAGGAUGCUGGCGUAAUGGUUAUCAAUCACCCGUCUUGAAACACGGACCAAGGAGUCGAACAUUUGUGCGAGUGUUUGGGUGUUAAACCCUCACGCGUAAUGAAAGUGAACGGAGGUGAGAGCCCUUACGGGUGCAUCAUCGACCGAUCCUGAUGUUUUCGGAUGGAUUUGAGUAAGAGCAUAAAUGUUCGGACCCGAAAGAUGGUGAACUAUGCGUGGAUAGGGUGAAGCCAGAGGAAACUCUGGUGGAGGCUCGCAGCGGUUCUGACGUGCAAAUCGAUCGUCAAAUCUGCGCAUGGGGGCGAAAGACUAAUCGAACCAUCUAGUAGCUGGGUACCGCCGAAG
This 876-nucleotide ribosomal RNA is filed under the name Bartalinia kevinhydei. Its description in RNAcentral is "partial large subunit ribosomal RNA". It matches the Rfam family "Eukaryotic large subunit ribosomal RNA", at positions 65 to 966 of the family's 3401-position model. Lineage: Eukaryota; Fungi; Ascomycota; Sordariomycetes; Amphisphaeriales; Sporocadaceae. The record is from RNAcentral.